Molecule: long non-coding RNA, 241 nt
Filed under: Phoenix dactylifera (date palm)
Lineage: Eukaryota; Viridiplantae; Streptophyta; Magnoliopsida; Arecales; Arecaceae
Description: long non-coding RNA (PDAC_LNC006082)
Source: RNAcentral
UUCUCUAAAGGGAUGGGAAAUGCCAGCCAAUGAGGAGGAAAAGCCCUAAGGGGAGUAGGGUUCAAGUGUGGAAGUAUAGCAACAAGCAUAGGUUCCCAGAAUCCAAAGGAACCUCGGCCCGUCAGGAUUCUCUCUCGAUCUAUUACACUGCUGAUACCUCUGGUGGCGCGGUAGCUGGCCUUUUUUUUUCCUUCUAUUUUUUGGUUUUUGUUUCUUUUAACUUUUGAAGGGAGAAAGUGAG